This 253-nucleotide ribosomal RNA is filed under the name uncultured bacterium. RNAcentral's name for it is "partial 16S ribosomal RNA". It matches the Rfam family "Bacterial small subunit ribosomal RNA", at positions 524 to 776 of the family's 1533-position model. The record is from RNAcentral.
UACGGGGGGGGCAAGCGUUGUUCGGAAUUACUGGGCGUAAAGGGCUCGUAGGUGGCCAACUAAGUCGGACGUGAAAUCCCUCAGCUUAACUGGGGAACUGCGUCCGAUACUGGAUGGCUUGAGUUUGGGAGAGGGAUGCGGAAUUCCAGGUGUAGCGGUGAAAUGCGCAGAUAUCGGGAAGAACACCCGUGGCGAAGGCGGCUCUCUGGAACGCAACUGACGCUGAGACGCGAAAGCGUGGGGAGCAAACAGG